GACUCAAUAGCUCAGUGGUAGAGCAUGAGAUUGCAGAUCUCAGGGUCCCGUGUUCGAACCACGGUUGGGUCU
Molecule: transfer RNA, 72 nt
Organism: Fistulina hepatica ATCC 64428
Lineage: Eukaryota; Fungi; Basidiomycota; Agaricomycetes; Agaricales; Fistulinaceae
Rfam family: tRNA
About the family: Transfer RNA (tRNA) molecules are approximately 80 nucleotides in length. Their secondary structure includes four short double-helical elements and three loops (D, anti-codon, and T loops).
Source: Rfam